This 740-nucleotide ribosomal RNA is filed under the name uncultured bacterium. RNAcentral's name for it is "bacterial SSU rRNA". It matches the Rfam family "Bacterial small subunit ribosomal RNA", at positions 790 to 1530 of the family's 1533-position model. The record is from RNAcentral.
GUAGUCCUGGCCGUAAACGAUGUCGACUUGGAGGUUGUGCCCUUGAGGCGUGGCUUCCGGAGCUAACGCGUUAAGUCGACCGCCUGGGGAGUACGGCCGCAAGGUUAAAACUCAAAUGAAUUGACGGGGGCCCGCACAAGCGGUGGAGCAUGUGGUUUAAUUCGAUGCAACGCGGAGAACCUUACCUGGUCUUGACAUCCACGGAAGUUUUCAGAGAUGAGAAUGUGCCUUCGGGAACCGUGAGACAGGUGCUGCAUGGCUGUCGUCAGCUCGUGUUGUGAAAUGUUGGGUUAAGUCCCGCAACGAGCGCAACCCUUAUCCUUUGUUGCCAGCGGUCCGGCCGGGAACUCAAAGGAGACUGCCAGUGAUAAACUGGAGGAAGGUGGGGAUGACGUCAAGUCAUCAUGGCCCUUACGACCAGGGCUACACACGUGCUACAAUGGCGCAUACAAAGAGAAGCGACCUCGCGAGAGCAAGCGGACCUCAUAAAGUGCGUCGUAGUCCGGAUUGGAGUCUGCAACUCGACUCCAUGAAGUCGGAAUCGCUAGUAAUCGUGGAUCAGAAUGCCACGGUGAAUACGUUCCCGGGCCUUGUACACACCGCCCGUCACACCAUGGGAGUGGGUUGCAAAAGAAGUAGGUAGCUUAACCUUCGGGAGGGCGCUUACCACUUUGUGAUUCAUGACUGGGGUGAAGUCGUAACGAGGUAACCGUAGGGGAACCUGCGGCUGGAUCACCUCC